UACGAAGGGGGCUAGCGUUGUUCGGAAUUACUGGGCGUAAAGCGCACGUAGGCGGAUCUUUAAGUCAGGGGUGAAAUCCUGGAGCUCAACUCCAGAACUGCCUUUGAUACUGAGGACCUUGAGUUCGGGAGAGGUGAGUGGAACUCCGAGUGUAGAGGUGAAAUUCGUAGAUAUUCGGAAGAACACCAGUGGCGAAGGCGACUCACUGGACACGUAUUGACGCUGAGGUGCGAAAGCGUGGGGAGCAAACAGG
RNAcentral lists this ribosomal RNA (253 nucleotides) under uncultured bacterium. Its description in RNAcentral is "partial 16S ribosomal RNA". It matches the Rfam family "Bacterial small subunit ribosomal RNA", at positions 524 to 776 of the family's 1533-position model. The record is from RNAcentral.